GCAGUCGACGAACUCUGGUAUUGAUUGGUGCUUGCAUCAUGAUUUACAUUUGAGUGAGUGGCGAACUGGUGAGUAACACGUGGGAAACCUGCCCAGAAGCGGGGGAUAACACCUGGAAACAGAUGCUAAUACCGCAUAACAACUUGGACCGCAUGGUCCGAGUUUGAAAGAUGGCUUCGGCUAUCACUUUUGGAUGGUCCCGCGGCGUAUUAGCUAGAUGGUGAGGUAACGGCUCACCAUGGCAAUGAUACGUAGCCGACCUGAGAGGGUAAUCGGCCACAUUGGGACUGAGACACGGCCCAAACUCCUACGGGAGGCAGCAGUAGGGAAUCUUCCACAAUGGACGAAAGUCUGAUGGAGCAACGCCGCGUGAGUGAAGAAGGGUUUCGGCUCGUAAAACUCUGUUGUUAAAGAAGAACAUAUCUGAGAGUAACUGUUCAGGUAUUGACGGUAUUUAACCAGAAAGCCACGGCUAACUACGUGCCAGCAGCCGCGGUAAUACGUAGGUGGCAAGCGUUGUCCGGAUUUAUUGGGCGUAAAGCGAGCGCAGGCGGUUUUUUAAGUCUGAUGUGAAAGCCUUCGGCUCAACCGAAGAAGUGCAUCGGAAACUGGGAAACUUGAGUGCAGAAGAGGACAGUGGAACUCCAUGUGUAGCGGUGAAAUGCGUAGAUAUAUGGAAGAACACCAGUGGCGAAGGC
This 698-nucleotide ribosomal RNA is filed under the name Lactiplantibacillus plantarum. RNAcentral describes it as "bacterial SSU rRNA". It matches the Rfam family "Bacterial small subunit ribosomal RNA", at positions 57 to 722 of the family's 1533-position model. The record is from RNAcentral. Lineage: Bacteria; Bacillati; Bacillota; Bacilli; Lactobacillales; Lactobacillaceae.